AGCUCCAAUAGCGUAUAUUAAAGUUGCUGCAGUUAAAAAGCUCGUAGUUGCAUUUCCGAGGCAAGGGAUUAGUCCGACCUUUGGUGGGUAUUUAAUCCUCUUGCCUCGUCCUUGAGUGGUGCUUCUUGGUAUUAAGUUAUCGAGGAGAUAGCCGCUCAUCGUUUACUGUGAGAAAAUUAGAGUGUUCAAAGCAGGCUUAUGCCGUUGAAUAUAUUAGCAUGGAAUAAUAAGAUAGGACCUCGGUACUAUUUUGUUGGUUUGAGAACCAAGGUAAUGAUGAAUAGGGACAGUUGGGGGUAUUCGUAUUCAGUUGUCAGAGGUGAAAUUCUUAGAUUUACGGAAGACGAACUACUGCGAAAGCAUUUACCAAGGAUGUUUUCA
This 381-nucleotide ribosomal RNA is filed under the name uncultured marine Chaetocerotaceae. RNAcentral's name for it is "SSU rRNA". It matches the Rfam family "Eukaryotic small subunit ribosomal RNA", at positions 587 to 972 of the family's 1831-position model. Lineage: Eukaryota; Bacillariophyta; Thalassiosirophyceae; Chaetocerotales; Chaetocerotaceae. The record is from RNAcentral. RNAcentral also lists the same sequence under 1 other name.